This 385-nucleotide ribosomal RNA is filed under the name uncultured bacterium. Its description in RNAcentral is "bacterial SSU rRNA". It matches the Rfam family "Bacterial small subunit ribosomal RNA", at positions 30 to 416 of the family's 1533-position model. The record is from RNAcentral.
AUUGAACGCUGGCGGAAUGCUUUACACAUGCAAGUCGAACGGCAGCACGGGGCAACCUGGUGGCGAGUGGCGAACGGGUGAGUAAUACAUCGGAACGUGCCCAAUCGUGGGGGAUAACGUAGCGAAAGUUACGCUAAUACCGCAUACGAUCUACGGAUGAAAGCGGGGGAUCGCAAGACCUCGCGCGAAUGGAGCGGCCGAUGUCAGAUUAGGUAGUUGGUGGGGUAAAGGCUCACCAAGCCAACGAUCUGUAGCUGGUCUGAGAGGACGACCAGCCACACUGGAACUGAGACACGGUCCAGACUCCUACGGGAGGCAGCAGUGGGGAAUUUUUGGACAAUGGGCGCAAGCCUGAUCCAGCCAUUCCGCGUGCAGGAUGAAGGCC